RNAcentral lists this ribosomal RNA (446 nucleotides) under uncultured bacterium. RNAcentral describes it as "partial 16S ribosomal RNA". It matches the Rfam family "Bacterial small subunit ribosomal RNA", at positions 338 to 795 of the family's 1533-position model. The record is from RNAcentral.
CCUACGGGGUGCAGCAGUCGAGAAUCAUUCACAAUGGGGGAAACCCUGAUGGUGCGACGCCGCGUGGGGGAAUGAAGGUCUUCGGAUUGUAAACCUCUGUCAUGUGGGAGCAAAUUAAAAAGAUAGUACCACAAUAGGAAGAGACGGCUAACUCGGUGCCAGCAGCUGCGGUAAUACAGAGGUCUCAAGCGUUGUUCGGAAUCACUGGGCGUAAAGCGUGCGUAGGCUGUUUCGUAAGUCGUGUGUGAAAGGCGCGGGCUCAACCCGCGGACGGCACAUGUAACUGGGGGACUAGAGUGAGGGGAGGGGAGCCGGAAUUCUCGGUGUAGCAGUGAAAUGCGUAGAUAUCGAGAGGAACACUGGUGGCGAAGGCGGGUUCCUGGACAUUAACUGACGCUGAGGCACGAAGGCCAGGGGAGCGAAAGGGAUUAGAUACCCCGGUAGUC